This is a long non-coding RNA of Aethina tumida (small hive beetle), 1515 nucleotides long. RefSeq lists it as uncharacterized. The record is from RefSeq and is a predicted model, not a curated record. Lineage: Eukaryota; Metazoa; Arthropoda; Insecta; Coleoptera; Nitidulidae. The transcript has 2 exons.
UUGCAUCCUCAGUUCAGCACGCGGGCCUCCGGGCUCAGCCACGCUGUACUGCCAGCAACCAAAAUAAAUAAUAAUAAUAAUAAUAAUAAUGGUUAACUACUUAGUAAUGUAACUCACCGCUUUACAAGUAACCCCUAGUCGAUAAGGAUGGGACCUUGACUGACCAUUUGCCGAAGGGAUGGAAGCUGUUACGAACCCGAUUCCAUGUGCACAUAGCCCCACCGGGACAUCGGCAUCUAUGGACCUGAAGAAGCUGUUGUCCCCCGUGCAGACCCGGCCUCUGAUCAAGGCCCGUCCCUGUGUCCACGUGGAACAUUUUCGCGCCAGUCCUUCUGUGUCGAGUCGGACUUAACCGUUUCGGAACGGCUUCCAGAGGACCGCAAGCACUUUUGCGGCCCAGCCCCAAGUGUACGCGGCGACGCACGCCGCCCGAACAUUUGUAUAUAUGGAAAGUUUAUUCUAGUGUUUAAGGGAUGGUGACGUGCGCCGCCGCCUCAAUUGUUAAUUAAGGCCUUCGUGAUUUGCUUUACUAAUAUUAUGUAAGUUGCACAAAGCAAAAUAAGUUUUGGAUUGCUGUUUAAAAAAAAAUAAUAUUAAUAAUAAGAAACAAACCCUCUGAUUAUAUUAUAUUAUAUUAUAGAUUGUAGGUUAUACAUAUUAUUAUAAGUAAGGAAACGAGUAGAGAAACAUAUUUUCAAUACGGCAUCACCUGCAAUUAAGUGUAUGCGGCGUAUUAAACUAAUACUGCAUGUUACUUUUAUAAUUAAUAUACUUAUACAAUUUUUUGCGUACCUUAUUGUAUUAAAGUUGAACAACGUAUAUACGUAAAUUGGGAGUCCGAUCCGUUAAAAAUAAAAAAAAACGAACCCGAGGGAACAGUCCAGAACUGUCUCGUCACGGGAGUAGUUCAGCCAAUUAUACAAAAGGUGCAAGUAACUAACUAUUUAUUAGGACUUUUACAAUAGAUACAAUUCAUAGACUCAACUCACUGGUCAAGUAAUCAGGUUGUUCGUAUGAUCAAUUCCUAAUUACCACACCAAAUAAAGUCAACAAGAAAAACCUUUAUUUAUGGGAUUGAGUCGGUAAACUAAACGGAGUUGGUCGUACAAAUAAGUUGAUACGACACGCAAUAAACCUAACUGAUUGAUUGCUUUUGUUUAUGGAUCCGUCCAAGAACAAUUAACAAGUCUCACAAACUUCUGAUGUCAAUACUCCUGUCGCUAAUAACCGAAUCCGUAUGACCGGUUCGGUUCAUCGGAACUGCAAUCAACAGUAUCUAAAAAAAAAAAAUGAAAAAUGGCUAGUGAUAUAAAGAGUUAGCUAUUUAGUUAGAGUUUAAGUGCCCUGUAUACAAAGGGAUUGUCAAAUUAUACUCGAUAGUGAAUAGUGGCCUUUAAAACGAUAAACUUAUCCGAGCAUGCAUCACACAUUAUUAAAUUACACCGUAAUAGUGAUUGCUAACCCUUUGUACAAUGUAUUUAUCCUGUAUUCAUUAAAAUGGUUUGAGAAAAAGCA